Molecule: ribosomal RNA, 904 nt
Filed under: Metarhizium robertsii
Lineage: Eukaryota; Fungi; Ascomycota; Sordariomycetes; Hypocreales; Clavicipitaceae
Also listed under: 2 other names
Description: partial large subunit ribosomal RNA
Rfam family: Eukaryotic large subunit ribosomal RNA
Source: RNAcentral
AGCAUAUCAAUAAGCGGAGGAAAAGAAACCAACAGGGAUUGCCCCAGUAACGGCGAGUGAAGCGGCAACAGCUCAAAUUUGAAAUCUGGUCCCCAGGGCCCGAGUUGUAAUUUGCAGAGGAUGCUUUUGGUGAGGUGCCUUCCGAGUUCCCUGGAACGGGACGCCAUAGAGGGUGAGAGCCCCGUCUGGUUGGAUACCGAGCCUCUGUAAAGCUCCUUCGACGAGUCGAGUAGUUUGGGAAUGCUGCUCUAAAUGGGAGGUAUAUGUCUUCUAAAGCUAAAUAUUGGCCAGAGACCGAUAGCGCACAAGUAGAGUGAUCGAAAGAUGAAAAGCACUUUGAAAAGAGGGUUAAAUAGUACGUGAAAUUGUUGAAAGGGAAGCACUUAUGACCAGACUUGGCCCCGGUGAAUCAUCCAGCGGUUCCCGCUGGUGCACUUUGCCGGGGUUCAGGCCAGCAUCAGUUCGCUCCGGGGGAUAAAGGCUUUGGGAAUGUGGCUCCCUCGGGAGUGUUAUAGCCCAUUGCGUAAUACCCUGUGGCGGGCUGAGGUUCGCGCUUUAUGCAAGGAUGCUGGCAUAAUGGUCAUCAGUGACCCGUCUUGAAACACGGACCAAGGAGUCGUCUUCGUAUGCGAGUGUUCGGGUGUUAAACCCCUACGCGUAAUGAAAGUGAACGCAGGUGAGAGCCCUCCAGGGCGCAUCAUCGACCGAUCCUGAUGUUCUCGGAUGGAUUUGAGUAAGAGCAUACGGGGCCGGACCCGAAAGAAGGUGAACUAUGCCUGUAUAGGGUGAAGCCAGAGGAAACUCUGGUGGAGGCUCGCAGCGGUUCUGACGUGCAAAUCGAUCGUCAAAUAUGGGCAUGGGGGCGAAAGACUAAUCGAACCUUCUAGUAGCUGGUUUCCGCCGA